Molecule: non-coding RNA, 361 nt
Organism: Arachis ipaensis
Lineage: Eukaryota; Viridiplantae; Streptophyta; Magnoliopsida; Fabales; Fabaceae
Source: RefSeq, a predicted model, not a curated record
UGGAAACUUGGUGGUUGUUGUUGAAUGGCGAAGCUUGGAAUGAUAGUUGACUCCGUUGGUAACUUCUUCUCCGGCAAAGAUCAGCUUCCCUAGUGUGACCCUGACAUCGUCGCUGCAAGACAACCAAAUCCAAUCAUAUACAGGAGAUUACACCGCAGAUCAGUGGCAGCGAGAAUUUCAGGCAAACAAACUGAGGCAAGAUACUGCUUGACAACCAAAUCUAAUGAUUCUGAGGAUUCUUGAACUGAUGGGAGCAGAAAUAACCUUUUGGAAGUUAAUGUUUCAGAAGUAGAUCACCAUGAAAGACAAGUAAAGGAAGCUCAGCAGAAAGGAUUGUCCCUCACUGAUGGAGAUAAGGUAU